AGAAUCAACGCUGGCGGCGUGCCUCAGACAUGCAAGUCGAACGAUUAAAGCUCUCUUCGGAGAGUGUAUAGAGUGGCGCACGGGUGAGUAACACGUAAGUAAUCUACCUUUGAGUGGGGAAUAACGUCCGGAAACGGACGCUAAUACCGCAUAAUGCAGCGGCAUCGCAAGAUGACAGUUAUUAAAGAUUUAUCGCUUGAAGAGGAGCUUGCGGCAGAUUAGCUAGUUGGUAAGGUAAUGGCUUACCAAGGCUACGAUCUGUAACCGGUCUAAGAGGACGGUCGGUCACACUGACACUGAAUAACGGGUCAGACUCCUACGGGAGGCAGCAGGUCGGGAAUUUUGGGCAAGUGGGACGAAAGCCUCGACCCAGCAACGCCGCGUGAAGGAUGAAGUAGUUUCGGUAUAGUAAACGUUCGAAAAGAAGUAGGGAAAGAAA
RNAcentral lists this ribosomal RNA (439 nucleotides) under uncultured soil bacterium. Its description in RNAcentral is "bacterial SSU rRNA". It matches the Rfam family "Bacterial small subunit ribosomal RNA", at positions 26 to 454 of the family's 1533-position model. The record is from RNAcentral.